RNAcentral lists this ribosomal RNA (1044 nucleotides) under Triticum aestivum (bread wheat). RNAcentral describes it as "partial small subunit ribosomal RNA". Lineage: Eukaryota; Viridiplantae; Streptophyta; Magnoliopsida; Poales; Poaceae. The record is from RNAcentral.
AUGAUCUUCCUUCCUGCCUUCCUUGAUUCAUCAAACUUCUGGAACACCGACCACAACCAGCUUCAGCUGCAACAAAUCGGCACUAACACUCAGAGUACUACCACUCCUUCACCAGCUGGUCCUGGUGAUGGAGGAUGCAACAACAAUAACGAAGAAGGGUUCAUGGCCACGGCCGGGGCCGGCUCAGUCGCUGGAGGGGGCGGCAAUGAUGGUUGCAGCGGCGCUGGGGACGGCGAUUGCAGUAAGAGCGGGAAUAGCAAGUCGAUGUCCAUGUCGGAGCGAGCUCAGUUGGCGGGGUUGCCGCAACCGGUGUCGGGGCUCAACUGCCCGCGAUGCGACUCCACCAACACCAAGUUUUGCUACUUCAAUAACUACUCCCUUAUCCAACCCCGCCACUUUUGCCGCUCCUGUCGCCGCUACUGGACGCGCGGUGGCACGCUCCGCAAUGUGCCUGUCGGCGGGGGGUAUCGUCGCCAUGCCAAGCGCAGGGGCAAGCCCAAUGUGGUGUCAAACACCUCCCGAUCUACCGCGGUAGGGACAUCGUCUGUGACAACAACCAUGUCCAGCAAUACCACUUAUGCCACCGGCACUGGCCCUGUGCCGCCCGGAUUGCAGGGCCCCAUGCUCGGCAGCGCGCCGUCACACGAUAGCCAGUUCGCCCACAGGAUCGACCCGGCAAGCCUUGGACUCAGCUUCCCCGACAGGCUGCUCUUUGCGGACGGUGGUUCUUGCGCGGUGGACGGUUGUGCGCAACACCACCACAACCAUGCACAUUGGUAUGGGAUGGAGCAGUGGUCGGCAGCGCAAAUUGGCAGCUUCCCAUUCAUGCACGCCAUGGAUCACCAGAUGUCUGGGGCAAUGCCCAUCACAAUGGCUACCAUGCAGGGCAUGUUCCACCUUGGAUUACAGAGCGUCGGUGGGGGUAAAGAUGACAACAGAGGAGGCCACCUGUUGCACCACAAGCAGCAGGAUUACUCGAGCAGCAGGGGCAUGUACGGGGACAUGGUCAAUGGCGAGUUAGAUCAAGAUUUAUUCUUAGAUUAG